AAUGAACGUUGGCGGCGUGGAUUAGGCAUGCAAGUCGAGCGAGUCUACUUAUAGCAAUAUGAGUAAGUCGAGCGGCGUAAGGGGCAGUAAUACCUGGGAACGUACCCUGAGGUCGGGGGAUAGCUGCUGGAAACGGCGAGCAAUACCCGAUGAUCUUGGAAAAGCAAAGGCUUGCCGCCUUAGGAGCGGCCCAGGCGAUAUUAGCUAGUUGGUGGGGUAAUGGCCUACCAAGGCAUAGAUGUCUAGCGGGUGUGAGAGCAUGGCCCCCACCACUGGGACUGAGAUACUGCCCAGACACCUACGGGUGGCUGCAGUCGAGGAUCUUCGUCAAUGGGCGAAAGCCUGAACCGAGCGACGCCGCGUGCGGGAUGAAGGCCCU
Molecule: ribosomal RNA, 379 nt
Filed under: uncultured bacterium
Lineage: Bacteria
Description: bacterial SSU rRNA
Rfam family: Bacterial small subunit ribosomal RNA
Source: RNAcentral